This 253-nucleotide ribosomal RNA is filed under the name uncultured bacterium. Its description in RNAcentral is "partial 16S ribosomal RNA". It matches the Rfam family "Bacterial small subunit ribosomal RNA", at positions 524 to 776 of the family's 1533-position model. The record is from RNAcentral.
UACGUAGGUGGCAAGCGUUGUCCGGAUUUACUGGGCGUAAAGGGCGCGUAGGCGGCGUGACAAGUCACUUGUGAAAUCUCCGGGCUUAACUCGGAACGGUCAAGUGAUACUGUCGUGCUAGAGUACAGAAGGGGCAACUGGAAUUCUCGGUGUAGCGGUGAAAUGCGUAGAUAUCUGGAGGAAUACCGGUGGCGAAGGCGGCAUCCUGGACCGGCAUUGACGCUGAGGAGCGAAAGCCAGGGGAGCAAACGGG